Molecule: ribosomal RNA, 253 nt
Filed under: uncultured bacterium
Lineage: Bacteria
Description: partial 16S ribosomal RNA
Rfam family: Bacterial small subunit ribosomal RNA
Source: RNAcentral
UACGGAGGAUGCAAGCGUUAUCCGGAAUGAUUGGGCGUAAAGCGUCCGCAGGUGGCUGUGUAAGUCUGCUGUUAAAUAGUGAGGCUCAACCUCAUAAAGGCAGUGGAAACUACACGGCUAGAGUGCGUUCGGGGCAGAGGGAAUUCCUGGUGUAGCGGUGAAAUGCGCAGAUAUCAGGAGGAACACCGGUGGCGAAGGCGGAUCUCUGGGCCUUACCUGACGCUCAGGUGCGAAAGCUAGGGGAGCGAACAGG